UAUAAUCUGUGAUAUAACAGCGAUGAGAUGGUGAUGAUUAGGAAUAUAGAAGUCUUGUGAACUCUUACGCCAAUCUGGUGGUUAAGUCUUUCCUUGUGCUCUUGCGCCAAAUUUGGUGAAGUCUUUCCUUAAGUCUGGUAAAAUCUGCUGAAGUCUUGCCUCAAGUCUGAGCAAGGAUGUUAAACUGGAAGGUGGAUCUCUUUUGUUCGAUAUAUAGUGCUCCUUGUGUUCAUGUUACCUUUAUUAUCAUUGCUAUUUGAUGCUUCACAAUCACAAUACGGGCAAGCCUUUUUAUUUUAUGCCAGCUCUAUUUUUAUUUGCUAUGGAUGUUCUACUUUUUUCCUUUUCGACGACAUUUUUCAUUUCAGGCUUCCUACGAAUUCCGGUAAUGGUUUGUAUAUUAUAUAUGCUACUAACCUGGGAUCAGUAGUUCUGUGGAUAAGAUGGACAGUAGAUUGCUAUAUCAAUAUGUCUUUCACAACCAGAUACCUUGCUGUUAGGGAUAAUGCAGCAGGUGCUACCGCAAGGAUGAUUGUUGUUCAUCCU
Camelina sativa (false flax) is the source of this 546-nucleotide non-coding RNA. The record is from RefSeq and is a predicted model, not a curated record. Lineage: Eukaryota; Viridiplantae; Streptophyta; Magnoliopsida; Brassicales; Brassicaceae.